GAUGAACGCUGGCGGCGUGCCUAAUACAUGCAAGUCGAGCGAACAGACGAGGAGCUUGCUCCUCUGACGUUAGCGGCGGACGGGUGAGUAACACGUGGAUAACCUACCUAUAAGACUGGGAUAACUUCGGGAAACCGGAGCUAAUACCGGAUAAUAUAUUGAACCGCAUGGUUCAAUAGUGAAAGACGGUUUUGCUGUCACUUAUAGAUGGAUCCGCGCCGCAUUAGCUAGUUGGUAAGGUAACGGCUUACCAAGGCAACGAUGCGUAGCCGACCUGAGAGGGGGAUCGCCCAAGCUGGACAUGAGACACGGUCACGCUUCCUCGGGGAGGCAGAGGUGGGUAUUCUUCGGAAAUGGGCGAAAGCGUAAAGGACAACUGCCGGGUAAGUAAUGAAGGUCUUCGAAUCGUAAACAUCUGUUAUUAGGGAAAAAAAAAUGUGUAAGUAACUUUGACCGCCUUGACGGUACUUAACAAAAAAGCACCGGCUACCUACGU
This 496-nucleotide ribosomal RNA is filed under the name uncultured bacterium. Its description in RNAcentral is "partial 16S ribosomal RNA". It matches the Rfam family "Bacterial small subunit ribosomal RNA", at positions 28 to 506 of the family's 1533-position model. The record is from RNAcentral.